RNAcentral lists this ribosomal RNA (254 nucleotides) under uncultured bacterium. RNAcentral describes it as "partial 16S ribosomal RNA". It matches the Rfam family "Bacterial small subunit ribosomal RNA", at positions 524 to 776 of the family's 1533-position model. The record is from RNAcentral.
UACGGGGGAUGCAAGCGUUAUCCGGAUUUAUUGGGUUUAAAGGGUGCGUAGGCUGUGAGGUAAGUCAGCGGUGAAAUGCCCCCGCUCAACGGGGUGAAGUGCCAUUGAUACUGCCUUGCUGGAAUGCGGAUGCCGUGGGAGGAAUGUGUGGUGUAGCGGUGAAAUGCAUAGAUAUCACGCAGAACUCCGAUUGCGAAGGCAGCGUACCGGCAUCCAACUGACGCUGAGGCACGAAAGCGUGGGGAUCAAACAGG